UACAGAGGUCCCAAGCGUUGUUCGGAUUCACUGGGCGUAAAGGGUGCGUAGGUGGCAGGGUAAGUUUGAUGUGAAAUCUCCGAGCUCAACUCGGAAACUGCAUUGAAUACUAUCCUGCUUGAGGAUUGGAGGGGAGACUGGAAUUCUCGGUGUAGCAGUGAAAUGCGUAGAUAUCGGGAGGAACACCGGUGGCGAAGGCGGCGAUCUGGGUCGAUACUGACGCUGAGGUGCGAAAGCGUGGGGAGCAAACAGG
RNAcentral lists this ribosomal RNA (253 nucleotides) under uncultured bacterium. RNAcentral's name for it is "partial 16S ribosomal RNA". It matches the Rfam family "Bacterial small subunit ribosomal RNA", at positions 524 to 776 of the family's 1533-position model. The record is from RNAcentral.